UACGUAGGUCCCGAGCGUUGUCCGGAUUUAUUGGGCGUAAAGCGAGCGCAGGCGGUUUAAUAAGUCUGAAGUUAAAGGCAGUGGCUUAACCAUUGUUCGCUUUGGAAACUGUUAGACUUGAGUGCAGAAGGGGAGAGUGGAAUUCCAUGUGUAGCGGUGAAAUGCGUAGAUAUAUGGAGGAACACCGGUGGCGAAAGCGGCUCUCUGGUCUGUAACUGACGCUGAGGCUCGAAAGCGUGGGGAGCAAACAGGAUUAGAAACCCCAGUAGUCC
RNAcentral lists this ribosomal RNA (272 nucleotides) under uncultured Streptococcus sp. Its description in RNAcentral is "partial 16S ribosomal RNA". It matches the Rfam family "Bacterial small subunit ribosomal RNA", at positions 524 to 796 of the family's 1533-position model. The record is from RNAcentral. Lineage: Bacteria; Bacillati; Bacillota; Bacilli; Lactobacillales; Streptococcaceae.